AAUUAUGGUCUUAUAUAAAUGUUUAUGGUAUUUGAUAGGUUUUGGAGAAAAGUAUUGAUUUAGAGAAGAGUUUUGAAGUCGUGAAGCUGUGUGAAGAGGAAGUUGUGCACGUCUGCCGUGCGGUGUGCCCAUUCUGCCUGGGCGUGAAUUGAUUGCAUGGAUUGAAGACUAAAGUGCCGAAAAGAAAGACAUGCUGAGCCACCAUGUUUGAUUUGGACUGAUUUUAAGUUAGUUAAUUAGCUAGUAGUCCACUAGUUUGUUUUUGUGGACUUUAUAUUAUUUUUUUUAGUUGCCUAUUUAGACUAGGUUAGUAGGUUUUGAUUUUUCCUUAGUUAUAUAUAUAUAUGUAUUAGUUAAGUUUUGGGGGAUAUCAAAAACCAUAGCAGCUGCAACUUCUGGGCAGCAUACUCGGACGAAAUUUGGAGCUCUAAUUCAAGUUUUAUUCCUUCAUCUUUCCUUUGCAAUUAAUUAUUUAUUUUGUUUGAUUUAUUUUUAUUAUGAGUUCUAGCUAAAUUUCUAUAUUCCGGCAUUGAUUAGGGAAGCACUAGCGAAAUUAUUCUGUGAGAUCUAAUUGUUCUUAUACUUUAUUUUAUGCUUGCAUCUGCGAUUCUUCAUGUUUAAUGAUAUUAAUUGUUUUAAUCCAUUAGAUAGUUGCAAAUAUUUAUUGGGUUAGAAUUAAUUAUAUAGCCAAUUGAACCGGCCAUCCGUAAUUGUGGUUUAGGUUUGAUUAGUGGUAAAUUGACACAUCAGGGUCAAAGGAAAAGCAGUCUUAAUUCAAUAAUCCUGCGUCAGAGUUUAUUGGUUUUGAAUCGGGUUUCUCUAGAUAUUAAUGUUAUCGGCUCAUUAAACCUAUAGAGCGUCUCUUACGGUUGUCAGUCGAUUAGGGUAGUAAUUAGUGAAGCGUCUUCCUGGUUAUCGAAUAAUUAAGGAGAAAUAAGAUCACGUCAGAAGCGUCUUCGGUGGUUAUAACUGGUUUGUUUGCAUGAUUUAAAGUUAUUUUUGCAUCGAUGAUCGGAAUAAUUAAGCUAGGGUGGACUUAAUUGAUUGCUGGAAUUCUUUUAUUAAUUGUUGGAAUUUUUAUUCAUCUUUUAGUUAUUGGAAAAAUUGGUUUAUUUGGAUUUUAUUUAUUUAAUUUUAAGUUUAGUAUUUUCUAUAUUUUCUUCUCAAAAUUUCGUGGGUUACUUGCAGGCUUUAAUUAGAGAAAUUCUCGCCAGUCCCUUGGGAGACGAUUUUGCUUACUGCUGUCUGCGCAGUGUGGGCAUACCGGCUGACUGCCGGAUAUUUUUGGUGUAAAACGACGCACCA
Molecule: long non-coding RNA, 1305 nt
Filed under: Salvia miltiorrhiza (redroot sage)
Lineage: Eukaryota; Viridiplantae; Streptophyta; Magnoliopsida; Lamiales; Lamiaceae
Description: long non-coding RNA (SMIL_LNC010723)
Source: RNAcentral